ACUCCUACGGGAGGCAGCAGUGGGGAAUCUUGCCCAAUGGGCGAAAGCCUGACGCAGCAACGCCGCGUGAGUGAAGAAGGCCUUCGGGUUGUAAAGCUCUUUCAGCAGGGGUGAAAAAAAUGACGGUACCUGCAGAAGAAGCACCGGCUAACCCUGUGCCAGCAGCCGCGGUAAU
Molecule: ribosomal RNA, 175 nt
Filed under: uncultured Actinomycetes bacterium
Lineage: Bacteria; Bacillati; Actinomycetota; Actinomycetes
Description: uncultured actinobacterium partial 16S ribosomal RNA
Rfam family: Bacterial small subunit ribosomal RNA
Source: RNAcentral